AAUUGGGUAGGGAUCAUUGACUUCAAAGUAGAAACCACCCGGAGGAGGCUCAUAGUUUUGGGGGAAUGCACCGGCAAAUAUCUGUGCAGAUGAACCAAGACUGCUGGAACCUUGCCAGACAACUUCAAGACUCUUCUCACUUUUACGCUUAGCCCUGUCUUGGUAAUCUAUCCGGCCAAAGAAAAGAGAGUCAAAUCCAACUUCAGCUCCCAGCAAGUAAGCCUGCACUGCAGAAUGUCCAAAAGGGUCUAU
This 252-nucleotide unclassified non-coding RNA is filed under the name Hevea brasiliensis (rubber tree). The record is from RNAcentral. Lineage: Eukaryota; Viridiplantae; Streptophyta; Magnoliopsida; Malpighiales; Euphorbiaceae.